GUCCAGCUGACGUGUCCCAAACAGGACGAAACUUCAGUCCUAGAU
Molecule: non-coding RNA, 45 nt
Organism: Schistosoma curassoni
Lineage: Eukaryota; Metazoa; Platyhelminthes; Trematoda; Strigeidida; Schistosomatidae
Source: Rfam